RNAcentral lists this ribosomal RNA (433 nucleotides) under uncultured bacterium. Its description in RNAcentral is "partial 16S ribosomal RNA". It matches the Rfam family "Bacterial small subunit ribosomal RNA", at positions 29 to 507 of the family's 1533-position model. The record is from RNAcentral.
AACGAACGCUGGCGGCAUGCCUAACACAUGCAAGUCGAACGAGACCUUCGGGUCUAGUGGCGCACGGGUGCGUAACGCGUGGGAACCUGCCCUUAGGUUCGGAAUAACUCCCCGAAAGGGGUGCUAAUACCGGAUAAUGUCUUCGGACCAAAGAUUUAUCGCCUUUGGAUGGGCCCGCGUUGGAUUAGCUAGUUGGUAGGGUAAAAGCCUACCAAGGCGAGGAUCCAUAGCUGGUCUGAGAGGAUGAUCAGCCACACUGGGACUGAGACACGGCCCAGAAUCCUACGGGAGGCAGCAGUGGGGAAUAGUGGACAAUGGGCGAAAGCCUGAUCCAGCAAGGCCGCGUGAGUGAUGAAGGCCUUAGGGUUGUAAAGCUCUUGUACCCGGGAUGAUAAUGACAGUACCGGGAGAAUAAGCUCCGGCUAACUCCGUG